This 236-nucleotide unclassified non-coding RNA is filed under the name uncultured fungus. Its description in RNAcentral is "sequence contains ITS1". The record is from RNAcentral. Lineage: Eukaryota; Fungi.
GUAUUGUAUUGCGUUAUACGCGGCGCACAUUCCAUAAGACUUUGCUACGGUGUGUGUGUAAAAACGUAGAGCUACAGGAGGAAGACAGGUGUCCGCCAGACCAUAGAACUACAGAGGGUGCACAGGUGUGGGUGGAUGUGUGAACAGAGCGUGCACAUGCCCCCAAUGUUUGAGGACCAGCAACAGCUCAUGCCAACAACUCAGUAAUGAUCCUUCCGCAGGUUCACCUACGGAAA